Molecule: ribosomal RNA, 462 nt
Filed under: uncultured bacterium
Lineage: Bacteria
Description: bacterial SSU rRNA
Rfam family: Bacterial small subunit ribosomal RNA
Source: RNAcentral
AUAAACGCUGGCGGCGUGCCUAAAACAUGCAAGUCGAACGGCACCUUCGGGUGUAGUGGCGGACGGCUGAGUAACACGUGGAUGACCUGCCUUCGAGCGGGGGAUAACUGCCCGAAAGGGUGGCUAAUACCGCAGAUGUCGUUUCUUCGGUGAGAUGACUGAACUUGAGGGGCUCGGAGAGGGGUCCGCGGCCGAUUAGCUAGCUGGUGGGGUAAUGGCCUACCAGGGCGUCGAUCGGUAGCUGGUCUGAGAGGAUGAUCAGCCAGACUGGGACUGCGAACGGCCCAGACUCCUACGGGAGGCAGCAGUUAGGAAUUUUGGGCAAUGGGCGAAAGCCUGACCCAGCAACGCCGCGUGGGUGAUGAAGGCCCUCGGGUCGUAAAGCCCUUUUCCCAGGGAAGAUAGUGACGGUACCUGGGGAAUAAGCCCCGGCUAACUACGUGCCAGCAGCCGCAGUAAAAC